GAUGAAGAACGUAGCGAAAUGCGAUAAGUAAUGUGAAUUGCAGAAUUCAGUGAAUCAUCGAAUCUUUGAACGCACAUUGCGCCCCUCGGCACUCCGGGGGGCAUGCCUGUCCGAGCGUCAUUGCACCCCUCGAGCCCCCCGUGGCUUGGUCGUGAGCCGCGCCCGCGCCAGCCCCGUCCCCCCCCGUGCAGCGGGGGGCAGGGGCGCCGGGCGGGCUCGAAACGCAGUGGCGGCCCCCGGGCGACUUCCAGCGCGAUGACAUGUUUCGCUGCCGAAGCCUUCGCCCCGGGCGCCCGCCAGGCAACCCCCGUGCUUCUUACGCGGUUGACCUCGGAUCAGGCAGGGAUACCCGCUGAACUUAAGCAUACAAUAAGCGGAGGA
This 381-nucleotide unclassified non-coding RNA is filed under the name soil metagenome. RNAcentral describes it as "partial contains 5.8S ribosomal RNA, internal transcribed spacer 2, and large subunit ribosomal RNA". The stretch from base 1 to 120 matches the Rfam family "5.8S ribosomal RNA", at positions 35 to 154 of the family's 154-position model. The record is from RNAcentral.